AUUUUAUUUCAGUUGCUUUCACAAUCCCUUCUCACUACUACUUUCAGUUUUCAUUUUGUUGAAGAUUCCGAUUCCGGAGGCAACCGCCACCAAAGUCCCAUGGUCACCGUCUUGCGCCUCUACUUGACCUGCACUCUCGACGCCGUUAUGUAACUCCAGAACUUCACUUUGUCAAGAAGUUGAAAGGCAUAUCAAGCCUGAGAUUGAAUAAGGUAGCUCUCGCAUACUUAAAGUGAGCUCGAUACAUUAAAGUGGAGCAAGUAUGAACAAGAAAGUGAGCUUAACUACUAUAGUAUUAUAGAAGAAAAUUCCUCUAAAUGUUGUGAUAUGAUGAAUCAAUAAAAUAGUUAGGUUUCGUCACUUUAAUUAUUAGAUUUGAGAAAUUACAAUACACUUUUGUUUAGAAAUUAAUAGACUUAAUUAUUAAGCUGAUAGGUUUCUAUGUGUUCC
This is a non-coding RNA of Arachis ipaensis, 450 nucleotides long. The record is from RefSeq and is a predicted model, not a curated record. NCBI's taxonomy places the organism in Eukaryota, Viridiplantae, Streptophyta, Magnoliopsida, Fabales, Fabaceae.